AAAAAAUUCCCCAGAACUAAAUAUAUAAAUAAAAUCUCAACUUUGAAAGAGAAGGAGAAAGACCAAAAAAAACUCACCAGAAGAGACCCACUACUUUCUCUCUCUCUUCAACCCUUUAACUCUCUCUCCAAACAGCCAGGCCCUAGUCUGAUGAAGCCAAAAAUGGCGAAAGAUGAGGGGGAGAGAGUGGUAUUUAUAGAAAAAGAUAAGGUGAUCUGAUUCUCGUGUAGACUCUACAAUGGGAAAAAAAUCUAAGCGGAAACCAAAACCACACCGAUAAAAAUGGCAGGUAACACCUUCUAGAGUUGCAUAAUUAGUUCAUCCAGCAAAA
This 331-nucleotide long non-coding RNA is filed under the name Panax ginseng (ginseng). Its description in RNAcentral is "long non-coding RNA (PGIN_LNC015900)". The record is from RNAcentral. Lineage: Eukaryota; Viridiplantae; Streptophyta; Magnoliopsida; Apiales; Araliaceae.